AAAAAUCCCUUUUAACUAUUGAGAGGACCUGGUUAAAUGAUUUUUACUUUUACAUAAGUGAUGUGGAUCCAAAAUUAAAGAUCAUAGGCAAACUUACACCUGCAUAUAUUUGUGUUGAUUAUGUUUCCAAGUUGUAUUGCUAUUGCGCAGUGAGAGUAUACAAGGCAUUACUUGGCAUUUCCACGAUAGAUUACACUGGCUUAAAACCAUUAUAGUAUAUUAAAGACAACACAAGAUAGAAGAGACCCAUUUCGCAGAAUGAUGUGUUCGAUCAAUAUUUUACCACGGUAAAUGAACCACCUUAGAAAGCUCAUCAAGAAAGCAAGUCAACACAUCUAUAGAAUAACCACAAACUAAAUUAGCUUUUUCCAUGGAUGACUUGAUGUAAACAAGAUUAUUGUGCUAGCAGAUCUAUGGUCAACUUUUCCCCUGUUUGUCCAAUGUAGUCCUCAAAAUUGGACCACUAUGAUACGAAAUGAACCAUAAAAAUAUCUAAUAACUCUCAAACACAAAAUUGAACAGUUACAAGUCGAAAAUGAUGGUCCUAAGCAACAGGCCAGAAUGAAAAUUGAUAGUAUAUGAUUGUCAUAUAUUAUUUUUAUCAAACAGCAAAUGCAGCAUACUGCUCUCUAUCAGUGAUGUGCCUUAGCUUCAGCCUUCUGGUGAGACUUGGCCUUAGCCUGAAACAAAUAAGAUCGAAAGUUGGCAACAAACGUUAGUCUAUGCAUAAUGAAAUGCAAAUUAGCUAGUGUUAGAAACAAAUGUAAACAUCCAUUGAUUGAAAGAAAAUCAAAUAUUUACAGUUGAUACAAGACAACAACAACAACAACCACCGAGUAUAAUCCACAAGUGGGGUCUGGGGAGGGUAAUAUGUACGCAGGCCUUACCCAUACCUCGAGAGGCAUAGAAGUUGUUUCCAGGAAACCCUCGGCUCAAGAAGCAACAAGAGACGAUAUAUUAGUACUAUCAAUAGACUCAUACUAAAAUAACAUAAAAUACAUAACAUAAGAUAACAAAACAACAUCAAUAUAAGAAAUAUAGAAAAUACGAAAAAGUUAACAGUUAAUACAAGGAGAUUCACAAAAUAAUUAACAAGGAAAAAAAGAAAAGAUACGACACUGUAGAAAUUUGUCGAACAUCUUCAAAAAGGCAUUACAAAUUUCGCAGAUAAGUGAUCGGAAAGGAAAAUUCCAAACACAUCCCAACUCUCAUUUCUCAAUGUGGAUGGAGGCAGGAUUUCAGGGUGCUCAUGAACCGUGAAAAGGCCCAUCACGAUGAGAAAACUGCACAUUGCAUCUAUGUUAGACAAAUCAUGAAUAUCAUUUCACAGAGAAAAUGAUAAACGGGAUAUAAGAGCUAUACACUUGGAGAGGUAGAAACUAGCUGGAAUUAUAACAAGACAUUAUGGUUCAAACAAGUGUUUACUGUGGUCCUUUUUGCAACAAAGUCAAACACACUCAUAGAAGCCCCAAGAACAGCAUCCUAGACCAACAAACUGAUAAGUGGGCUUUUAAUCGUCGUGCACCUUUCCAUCCACUCUUAAACUGGACAUUAGCGGAAGCACAUUGUCCAUAGCUAAGAAGUAUCAGAGGCAUACCAUUCACAAAAUGAUAUACUUAUCUUCCACGUUAAAGCAUAAGCUUAUGAAUUUCUGCCUGUAUUUUCAGUAUGCAUCACCAUUCUAAAGGUUAUGAGAAUAAAAAUUUAUGUAUCUCCUUUCUGCUUCAUAAUCCAAAUUAAUCCCAUGGAAGUAGAUCAGGUAGUUUCGAAAAAAUAAAGCUGUGCCUCGUACUGCUACUUAGACAUGCUGUAAUUUUUGUCCAUCUAACCACCUCAUUGAAUAAUAUCUGUGCCCUUCACAUUGAGAUUGUUAUCAAAUAGAUCUACCAUAUUAGGGCAUUCUUUAUCUGGCUUAAUUUUGCAAUUCAGCUCCCAUUUAAGAUGCACUUUAACACACAAAAAUCUGCUAGCAUCUCUAAACAAUUAGAUAGAGUAAAUUUGAUUGCUAAAGCAGAAAAUUUCACAGUUUAAAGACAUUGAAGAAACAUAUCGAAUGAAGCAAACCACAGCAACAAAAAAAAUCAACCAAAAGCAAAUUUCUUUCUUAUCUAAAAAGAAAUAUUGGGAAAGAGAAACAAAUACCCUGAGAUACUUGAGCUUCAUGCUACCAUAGACAAGUCCGAAUGUGAAUGCCGAGGUACGUGCCACCUGCCCCCAAAACAAAUAAAUCAAUUAAUAAAUCCAUCACCUAAGCAUCAACCUAAACCAGUUCCGGUCUAUUCGGAUCUAUUUCAUUAUAAUACUCAACAAUAGGAUUAUUAAGUCAAUUAAAAGCAUUUCAAAAUCGAUGAUUGAUGGGUACAUUAGAUCGAAGCUUAGAAUGGAGAAGGAAAUGGAUUACCAGAGCAAGGGUGCUGGUACCAGAGUAAGGUCCGGGAAGAGGUGCCAUUGUUGACUUGCAAAGUAGAGCUUCUUCAAGAUCUCUUUUCAAGCCCUAGAUUUUUCACAAACCCUGAAAGGCCUGAACUGACAAACGACGGUGGGCUUAUAUGCUGUGAGCUGUGAUCUGCUGUGCGUCCGCCUAGUUAAAACCUCUGUGGUUUUAUUUUUUCCGUUUUUU
This 2620-nucleotide long non-coding RNA is filed under the name Nicotiana benthamiana. Its description in RNAcentral is "long non-coding RNA (NBEN_LNC038988)". The record is from RNAcentral. Lineage: Eukaryota; Viridiplantae; Streptophyta; Magnoliopsida; Solanales; Solanaceae.